CCUACGGGCGGCAGCAGUGGGGGAUAUUGCACAAUGGGGGAAACCCUGAUGCAGCGACGCCGCGGGGGUGAAGAAGUAUUUCGGUAUGUAAAGCCCUAUCAGCAGGGAAGAAAGAAGACGGUACCUGACUAAGAAGCCCCGGCUAACUACGUGCCAGCAGCCGCGGUAAUACGUAGGGGGCGAGCGUUAUCCGGAUUCACUGGGUGUAAAGGGAGCGUAGACGGCCGUGCAAGCCAGGAGUGAAAGCCCGGGGCCCAACCCCGGGACUGCUCUUGGAACUGUGCGGCUGGAGUGCGGGAGGGGCAGGCGGAAUUCCUGGUGUAGCGGUGAAAUGCGUAGAUAUCAGGAGGAACACCGGCGGCGAAGGCGGCCUGCUGGACCGCGACUGACGUUGAGGCUCGAAAGCGUGGGGAGCGAACAGGAUUAGAUACCCGGGUAGUC
RNAcentral lists this ribosomal RNA (441 nucleotides) under uncultured bacterium. Its description in RNAcentral is "partial 16S ribosomal RNA". It matches the Rfam family "Bacterial small subunit ribosomal RNA", at positions 338 to 795 of the family's 1533-position model. The record is from RNAcentral.